Leopardus geoffroyi (Geoffroy's cat) is the source of this 1450-nucleotide long non-coding RNA. RefSeq lists it as uncharacterized. NCBI's taxonomy places the organism in Eukaryota, Metazoa, Chordata, Mammalia, Carnivora, Felidae. The record is from RefSeq and is a predicted model, not a curated record. The transcript is spliced from 6 exons.
UGAGAUCAUGACCUGAGCUGAAGUCAGAUGCUUAACCGACUGAGCCACCCAGGCGCCCCUGAAAAUGUAUUUGUAGUAGAAGAGUAAUUCUCAAUCAAGGAUGAUUUUGUCCCCCAGGAGGCAUUUGGCAAUUUCUGGAGAUAUUUUUGUCACAGCUGUGGGGAGAGGGUAUGCCACUGACAUCUGGUGAGUGGAGGCCAGCAGCAAUGUGCAGGACAGCCUCCACAACAAAGAUUUAUUUGGUACGAAAUGUCAAUAGUGCUGAAGCUGAGAAACACUGGAUUAGAAGGAAAGCAACCAAAAUAUCCUAAAUGAGGAAUUGCCUUAGCAAACUAUGGCACAUCUAUCAAUAUAAUGGACUACUGUGCAGGUCUUAGAAAGUGUACUGUCAAAAUAUUUACAGAGAUGACAAUCUAAUUAUUAGUGCUUUCUCACACUGAACAGCCUAUAUUUCCUCACACAAAAGCUCUCUAGUAUGUUCUAAGUUUUAUUAUUCUUUGUUACAUCCAUGAUCUUCUUAUGUUCCUAACAAGGAGGAGAAUUCUUUGGGGAAAAGGUCAGCACUUAUUUACCAUUUCCCUCAACACACCUUACACAGUGCUGGUGCAAGGAAGGAAAACUGCAGUUAUUAUGCAGUGUAUUGGCUCCCUUUGGUUGAAGAUGUUGAAUUACCUGGAGGGAAAACAACCCUGGUUGAGAUAAAGCUAAAGAAGAGGAAGAGGAGCGACCUGGGAGCCACUGGGAACCAAUGUCAGGCCAUGACGACAGGAGGUUGCUAUGAACAGAGCCCACCCGAAGAGGCAGAACUGAGGAGAGAGACUCGGACUCUGGUCACAGCAUUUGAAUUGCCAAAGCAAGCUUCUUUGAAAGGAUAAAAGAAAGAGCAAGAUGGAAAUGAAACAAAUAUGCGUGUCAGAACUUCACUCAUUCGUUAAUGAUGUUUUAUAGCAUGUAACUGUGUUAAGGAAGAUUGAUAAACCUAAUAAACUUAUAUAUAAACCUAUCAGUAAAGGAUUAUAGAGAGGAAAUUCAAGUUCACUCUGGAGUACUUGUUAUAUCUCUUCUGGAACUUCAAGUUACAGCAUGUUAUGACUGUGAAGCAUCUCCUCAGUGGUUUUUUGCUUCUUAAUAUGAAAGACUGCCAUCAAUGAAGCUCAGUAUUUUAGAGAAUUGUGGUUUAAGUGUUGAGUUUCCCGUCUUACUCAACUUCAUAAUUCAGUAAAUGUCUCAUGGGGAAAAUUCGCCCUGUGUUUGAUGCCUUUAUAUUUACAAUCUUUCACUCUAGAUGCAUCCCUCUCUUGUGGAAAAACCUGGAUUCUUCUCCACUAUCUACAUUCAAGAUUAGCCAAGGCUCCAGGAAUAAUGUUACAGAGGGUCAAAAUACUGUUUCCAAAGAAUAACUAUUGCUGCGUAAUAAAUUACCCCAAACGUAUCAGCUAAAACCAACAUA